CUGCAGUAGACAAACGCACUUGUGUGCGUGGGAUCGCAAGGGGGCGCGCGGAGCGCUAGGGCUGCGUCUAUUAUGCUGGCCAGGAAUAAAGUUGAUACACGAAACAAGCACCCACAAAUCCACUAUAUAUUACGAAAUACCAUUAGAGCCGAUCCUACUGAACAAUCUUUUACACUUUUUAGGAAAUUUUAUAGACGGAUUGCUCGCCAAAAUCGAGAUUAAAAAACGCGUCGAGCGAUGCUGCGCACUUUGAUUAGCAAAUGAUGGCAAAAUAGCGGGGUGGGGGUGGGCGAGAUCUGCUGCUGCAGUAGACAAACGCACUUGUGUUCGUGGGAUCGCAAGGGGGCGCGCGGAGCGCUAGGGCUGCGUCUAUUAUGCUGGCCAGGAAUAAAGUUGAUACACGAAACAAGCACACACAAAUCCACUAUAUAUUACGAAAUACCAUUAGAACCGAUCCUACUGAACAGUAUUUUCCACUUUUUAGGAAAUUUUAUAGACGGAUUGCUCGCCAAAAUCGAGAUUAAAAAACGCGUCGAAACGAUGUUGCGCACUUUGAUUAGCAAAUGAUGGCAAAAUAGCGGGGUGGGGGUGGGCGAGACCUGCUGCUGCAGUAGACAAACGCACUUGUGUGCGUGGGAGCGCAAGGGCUGCGUGUAAAUAUACUGGCCAGGAAUAAAGUUGAUACACGAAACAAGCACCCACAAAUCCACUAUAUAUUACGAAAUACCAUUAGAGCCGAUCCUACUGAACAAUAUUUUACACUUUUUAGGAAAUUUUAUAGACGGAUUGCUCGCCAAAAUCGAGAUUUAAAAACGCGUCGAAACGAUGUUGCGCACUUUGAUUAGCAAAUGAUGGCAAAAUAGCGGGGUGGGGAUGAAUGCCCUUAUCGAUAUCCUACACCUGUGCGAUGUACCUAAUUGGCGAUAGCCGAUAAGAUCAACUUAGCGAGAUCUGCU
RNAcentral lists this long non-coding RNA (956 nucleotides) under Drosophila guanche. Lineage: Eukaryota; Metazoa; Arthropoda; Insecta; Diptera; Drosophilidae. The record is from RNAcentral.